Long non-coding RNA from Ictalurus punctatus (channel catfish), 353 nucleotides. The record is from Ensembl. Lineage: Eukaryota; Metazoa; Chordata; Actinopteri; Siluriformes; Ictaluridae.
GUAAAAUGGGGAGGGUAAAAAGUCUUUCAUGAAAAAUUACUACCGGACCAGUACCGAAGACGAUGUAGGAGUCGCACAGCUGGAGGACGGGAUGCGUGACGCUCCUGUUGCUAAGCGAUUACCGUUUGUUCUUACGAACGGCACCGUGUACGGACAUGCCCGAGUCUCAGUUCCAGCUAAACAAACCGAUUACUGUAAUUAAUUCAGAUGGAAUAUAUGUGGUUAAGCUUGUUUACCACUAAAGUCAACAAAACAACUUCCUGCAUUCGUUGUUCAACAAACGAAAAGGACCUGAACACAAAAUGUGUGAUCGAGAUGGAGGGGAACCAAACGUUCCUGUAUCCUGCAAGCGG